UUGUGGAGGAGGACGCCGAAGGUGGGGCUAAUGACUGGGGUGAAGUCGUAACAAGGUAGCCGUACCGGAAGGUGCGGCUGGAUCACCUCCUAACAGGGAGACAACAAAAUGUUAAAUAUUAAUUUUGCCACCUUAGGUCGAUCGGUAUCUCACAUUCUUAACUUAUUAAGGAUUUCAUUUCCUAAGUUUUUUCUAGGUCACACCCAUUAUUUUCCCUGGGCCAUUAGCUCAGGUGGUUAGAGCGCACCCCUGAUAAGGGUGAGGUCCCUGGUUCAAGUCCAGGAUGGCCCAUAUCUCUAUGUUGGGGGUAUAGCUCAGUUGGUAGAGCGCCUGCCUUGCAAGCAGGAUGUCAGCGGUUCGAGUCCGCUUACCUCCACUGAUUACCACCUCUUCCAUAUUUAAUAGAAAGGGAAUUUUGUGAGUUGUGAUCAAAUUCUGAACGAAUCUAGCUUCCUGAUGAAAUCAUUAAGAUGCUGGACUCAUUGAAUUUUUCUCAUUGUUUUCAGAGAACCUUGACAACUGCAUAGUUUAUUUUUAAAGACAAUAAGCAUCUUUAAUGAUGCAGAUUUAUUAUUUGUGCGAAUGCAUUAAUAACAAUUCUAUUAAGCUGAUGCUUCAAUUUUGAAGUUAUUGGUCAAGCUACAA
This 645-nucleotide unclassified non-coding RNA is filed under the name uncultured Prochlorococcus sp. Its description in RNAcentral is "partial 16S-23S ribosomal RNA intergenic spacer; may also contain 16S ribosomal RNA and 23S ribosomal RNA". The stretch from base 304 to 376 matches the Rfam family "tRNA". The record is from RNAcentral. Lineage: Bacteria; Bacillati; Cyanobacteriota; Cyanophyceae; Synechococcales; Prochlorococcaceae.